This is a non-coding RNA of Crassisporium funariophilum, 92 nucleotides long. The record is from the annotation of a GenBank genome assembly. Lineage: Eukaryota; Fungi; Basidiomycota; Agaricomycetes; Agaricales; Crassisporiaceae.
UCUCUGUUCGUAUAUCGGUUAGUACACGCGCCUGUCAUGUGGUUGUACUUACAAGUACGCGCGAAAGCUGGGUUCGAUUCCCAGACAGAGAG